Molecule: ribosomal RNA, 83 nt
Filed under: Rhizobium leguminosarum bv. viciae
Lineage: Bacteria; Pseudomonadati; Pseudomonadota; Alphaproteobacteria; Hyphomicrobiales; Rhizobiaceae
Description: partial 16S ribosomal RNA
Rfam family: Bacterial small subunit ribosomal RNA
Source: RNAcentral
CCACGGUAGGGUCAGCGACUGGGGUGAAGUCGUAACAAGGUAGCCGUAGGGGAACCUGCGGCUGGAUCACCUCCUUUCUAAGG